RNAcentral lists this transfer RNA (61 nucleotides) under Cyamophila willieti. RNAcentral describes it as "tRNA-Cys". Lineage: Eukaryota; Metazoa; Arthropoda; Insecta; Hemiptera; Psyllidae. The record is from RNAcentral.
AAUUUUUUAUUCAAAAUGAUAUUGAAUUGCAAAUUCAAAGGUAACACACAGUUAAAAAUUU